RNAcentral lists this ribosomal RNA (595 nucleotides) under uncultured soil bacterium. Its description in RNAcentral is "bacterial SSU rRNA". It matches the Rfam family "Bacterial small subunit ribosomal RNA", at positions 35 to 660 of the family's 1533-position model. The record is from RNAcentral.
GCUGGCGGCGCGCUUAACACAUGCAAGUCGCACGAGAAAGCGGGAGCAAUCCUGCAAGUACAGUGGCGUACGGGUGAGUAACACGUGGAUUAUCUGCCCUGGAGUGGGGAAUAACGCUGGGAAACCGGCGCUAAUACCGCAUAUUCCCGAGAGGGGAAAGCAGCAAUGCGCUCGAGGAGGAGUCCGCGGCUGAUUAGCUAGUUGGUAGGGUAACGGCCUACCAAGGCUAUGAUCGGUAGCCGGCCUGAGAGGGCACACGGCCACACUGGCACUGAAACACGGGCCAGACUCCUACGGGAGGCAGCAGUGGGGAAUCUUGCACAAUGGGGGCAACCCUGAUGCAGCGACGCCGCGUGAGCGAUGAAGCCCUUCGGGGUGUAAAGCUCUUUCGGCAGGGAAGAUUAUGACGGUACCUGCAGAAGCAGCUGCGGCUAACUACGUGCCAGCAGCCGCGGUAAUACGUAGGCAGCAAGCGUUGUUCGGAGUUACUGGGCGUAAAGGGUGUGUAGGCGGCCUUCUAAGUUUGGUGUGAAAUCUCCCGGCUCAACCGGGAGGGUGCGCCGAAGACUGGGGGGCUAGAGUGCGGGAUGGGAGA